Molecule: long non-coding RNA, 247 nt
Filed under: Elaeis guineensis (African oil palm)
Lineage: Eukaryota; Viridiplantae; Streptophyta; Magnoliopsida; Arecales; Arecaceae
Description: long non-coding RNA (EGUI_LNC046956)
Source: RNAcentral
GUGUGGUGAGGGGAGGAGCUUCGGGUGGCCAAUGCGAAGCUUGCCGAAGCCAAGCAGAAGGCUGAGGAGCGAGCAGCAAAGGUUAGGGAUCAAAUCAUCGAGGUUAGGCAAGAGGCUGAAGAAAAGAUUGAUGAGGCCCGCCGCUCAGCUAUGGAAUCCAUCAAGGUUUUGGAGGAUUUCAAGUAGGAACUGACUCGAGCAGUUGAUAAUUUUAAGGUGUCAGAGGAGUAUCAUGAUGUUCAGGUCA